GUGCAAAGUAAGAUUUUUGGUUCUGGAGUUAAAAUAAUGGAAACAACCUUCUUGUAAUAAAAGGGAAGACUGCACUCACCUAAUCCUCUCUGGAGUCAGCAGUGCAGGAAGCUACAUGCACUAAGACACCCUUUUCACUUUUGUUUUGUUUUUCUUGGUUGUAUUUAAAAUCUAUAAUGUGCCCAGCCUAUUUAAAAUCAUAUCCAAGUGGCUUCUCAGGGUUUCAUCUCUUUCUUGGAAAAGCAACUUUGGAUAUUUUAACAUUAGUUCAGGCUUGUUUCAAUUUGCUACUUUUCCUUUUGCUGAUCGUAAGGAAAACCUAAAAAUCAGCCCAGUACAUUUAUUAUGACAUCAAAGUGGCUUCUCACCAUCAUCUCUCUCCUAAAAAACAGUUAUUUUAGAUUAAUCAGUUGGCAAUUUUCUUUUCUCGCUGGUUAGAAGAAGCUCCUUACAUUCAUAGCGGGCCAGUUUACUAGACAAUUUGUAGGGCUCUCCAUUUUGACAGUUCUAUACUUGAUUGCUUCUAUAGUUACUAAAAUUGUCAGUUCACUGUUUAAAAUCGCCUCGUUAAGAUACGAGAUAUGCUGCAUAGAUCUAUUAAUUCCUUUUUCAACAAAUUUCUCUGUAAUCUUACAAAGAGGUCAAUCCUGGGCAUGCAUUCUAGUGUCUGGUAUACUUUUACCAUUAUAUUUAUUUGACAAGUUUUAUUUGAUUUGCAGCACUAUUACUGUGAUGAC
Molecule: unclassified non-coding RNA, 737 nt
Filed under: Hevea brasiliensis (rubber tree)
Lineage: Eukaryota; Viridiplantae; Streptophyta; Magnoliopsida; Malpighiales; Euphorbiaceae
Source: RNAcentral